UGAGGAAUAUUGGUCAAUGGACGAGAGUCUGAACCAGCCAAGUAGCGUGCAGGAUGACGGCCCUCUGGGUUGUAAACUGCUUUUAGUUGGGAAUAAAAAGAGGGACGUGUCCCUAAUUGUAUGUACCAUCAGAAAAAGGACCGGCUAAUUCCGUGCCAGCAGCCGCGGUAAUACGGAAGGUCCAGGCGUUAUCCGGAUUUAUUGGGUUUAAAGGGAGCGUAGGCGGGACGUGUAAGUCAGCUGUGAAAGUUUGCGGCUCAACCGUAAAAUUGCAGUUGAAACUGCCGUUCUUGAGUGUGCGCAGGGAUGUUGGAAUUCGUGGUGUAGCGGUGAAAUGCUUAGAUAUCACGAAGAACUCCGAUCGCGAAGGCAGAUGUCCGGAGCACAACUGACGCUGAGGCUCGAAAGUGUGGGUAUCAAACAGG
This 425-nucleotide ribosomal RNA is filed under the name uncultured prokaryote. RNAcentral describes it as "bacterial SSU rRNA". It matches the Rfam family "Bacterial small subunit ribosomal RNA", at positions 355 to 776 of the family's 1533-position model. RNAcentral also lists the same sequence under 1 other name. The record is from RNAcentral.